AGAGUUUGAUCCUGGCUCAGGACGAACGCUGGCGGCGUGCUUAACACAUGCAAGUCGAACGGAAAGGCCCUUCGGGGUACUCGAGUGGCGAACGGGUGAGUAACACGUGGGUGAUCUGCCCUGCACUUUGGGAUAAGCCUGGGAAACUGGGUCUAAUACCGAAUAUGACCAUGCACUUCCUGGUGUGUGGUGGAAAGCUUUUGCGGUGUGGGAUGGGCCCGCGGCCUAUCAGCUUGUUGGUGGGGUAAUGGCCUACCAAGGCGACGACGGGUAGCCGACCUGAGAGGGUGACCGGCCACACUGGGACUGAGAUACGGCCCAGACUCCUACGGGAGGCAGCAGUGGGGAAUAUUGCACAAUGGGCGCAAGCCUGAUGCAGCGACGCCGCGUGAGGGAUGACGGCCUUCGGGUUGUAAACCUCUUUCAGCACAGACGAAGCGCAAGUGACGGUAUGUGCAGAAGAAGGACCGGCCAACUACGUGCCAGCAGCCGCGGUAAUACGUAGGGUCCGAGCGUUGUCCGGAAUUACUGGGCGUAAAGAGCUCGUAGGUGGUUUGUCGCGUUGUUCGUGAAAACUCACAGCUUAACUGUGGGCGUGCGGGCGAUACGGGCAGACUAGAGUACUGCAGGGGAGACUGGAAUUCCUGGUGUAGCGGUGGAAUGCGCUGAUAUCAGGAGGAACACCGGUGGCGAAGGCGGGUCUCUGGGCAGUAACUGACGCUGAGGAGCGAAAGCGUGGGGAGCGAACAGGAUUAGAUACCCUGGUAGUCC
This 771-nucleotide ribosomal RNA is filed under the name uncultured bacterium. RNAcentral describes it as "bacterial SSU rRNA". It matches the Rfam family "Bacterial small subunit ribosomal RNA", at positions 8 to 796 of the family's 1533-position model. The record is from RNAcentral.